RNAcentral lists this ribosomal RNA (402 nucleotides) under bacterium. RNAcentral's name for it is "partial 16S ribosomal RNA". It matches the Rfam family "Bacterial small subunit ribosomal RNA", at positions 355 to 776 of the family's 1533-position model. The record is from RNAcentral.
UGGGGAAUUUUGCACAAUGGGGGAAACCCUGAUGCAGCGACGCCGCGUGAUUUAGAAGGCCUUCGGGUUGUAAAAAUCUUUUCUAUGGGAAGAAAAUGACAGUACCAUAGGAAUAAGGACCGGCUAAUUACGUGCCAGCAGCCGCGGUAAUACGUAAGGUCCGAGCGUUGUCCGGAAUCAUUGGGCGUAAAGGGUACGUAGGCGGGUAAGCAAGUUAGAAGUGAAAUCCUAUAGCUCAAUUAUAGUAAGCUUUUAAAACUGCUCAUCUUGAGGUAUGGAAGGGAAAGUGAAAUUCCUAGUGUAGCGGUGAAAUGCGCAGAUAUUAGGAGGAAUACCGGUGGCGAAGGCGACUUUCUGGCCAUAACCUGACGCUGAGGUACGAAAGCGUGGGUAGCAAACAGG